Molecule: unclassified non-coding RNA, 1584 nt
Filed under: uncultured fungus
Lineage: Eukaryota; Fungi
Description: sequence contains 18S rRNA gene, ITS1, 5.8S rRNA gene, ITS2, 28S rRNA gene
Rfam family: Eukaryotic large subunit ribosomal RNA (bases 613-1584)
Source: RNAcentral
GGAAGGAUCAUUAUUGAAUCAACUUGGUCGAGCUGUUGCUGGUCCUUCGGGGCAUGUGCACGCUUGCCACCAAAUUUAACCACCUGUGCACCUCUUGUAGACUGAAAAACCUGAUUCUCGAGGUAACUCGGAUUGAGGACUGCUGCUGCGCGCUUGCCAAGCUGUUCUUGUGUUUCUCAGUCUAUGUUCUUACAUACGCCGAAUGAAUGUCUUAGAAUGUAUUGUUGGGCCCUAGGGCCUUUAAAUCAAAUACAACUUUCAACAACGGAUCUCUUGGCUCUCGCAUCGAUGAAGAACGCAGCGAAAUGCGAUAAGUAAUGUGAAUUGCAGAAUUCAGUGAAUCAUCGAAUCUUUGAACGCACCUUGCGCUCCUUGGUAUUCCGAGGAGCAUGCCUGUUUGAGUGUCAUUAAAUUCUCAACUAUCCCAGUUUUUUUUUGUAAACCUGGAUGGUUUGGAUCAUGGGAUUUGCGGGCUUUUCUAAGUCGGCUUUCCUUAAAUGCAUUAGCAGAGCUUUUGCCGCUGGCUAUUGGUGUGAUAGUUAUCGACGCUAUUAGUGAGCCGCAUGAAUGGAGCUUCGCUUCUAAUCGUCUUUACAGACAACUUUGACAAUCUGACCUCAAAUCAGGUAGGACUACCCGCUGAACUUAAGCAUAUCAAUAAGCGGAGGAAAAGAAACUAACAAGGAUUCCCCUAGUAACUGCGAGUGAAGCGGGAAAAGCUCAAAUUUGAAAUCUGGUAGUCUUAGGCUGCCCGAGUUGUAAACUAGAGAAGCGUUAUCCGCGCUGGACCGUGUAUAAGUCUUCUGGAAUGGAGCGUCAUAGAGGGUGAGAAUCCCGUCUUUGACACGGACUACCAGGGCUUUGUGAUGCGCUCUCGAAGAGUCGAGUUGUUUGGGAAUGCAGCUCUAAAUGGGUGGUAAAUUCCAUCUAAAGCUAAAUAUUGGCGAGAGACCGAUAGCGAACAAGUACCGUGAGGGAAAGAUGAAAAGAACUUUGGAAAGAGAGUUAAAUAGUACGUGAAAUUGUUGAAGGGAAACGCUUGAAGUCAGUCGCGUUAGUUAGGAAUCAGCCUUGCUUCUGCUUGGUGUACUUCCUGGCUGACGGGUCAGCAUCAAUUUUGACCGGUGGAAAAAGGCCAGUUGAAUGUGGCAUCUAAGGAUGUGUUAUAGCUUCUGGUCGUAUACAUCGGUUGGGAUUGAGGAACUCAGCACGCCGAAAGGUCGGGGUUCGCCCACGUUCGUGCUUAGGAUGCUGGCAUAAUGGCUUUAAUCGACCCGUCUUGAAACACGGACCAAGGAGUCUAACAUGCCUGCGAGUGUUUGGGUGGAAAACCCGAGCGCGUAAUGAAAGUGAAAGUUGAGAUCCCUGUCGUGGGGAGCAUCGACGCCCGGACCAGACCUUUUGUGACGGAUCCGCGGUAGAGCAUGUAUGUUGGGACCCGAAAGAUGGUGAACUAUGCCUGAAUAGGGUGAAGCCAGAGGAAACUCUGGUGGAGGCUCGUAGCGAUUCUGACGUGCAAAUCGAUCGUCAAAUUCGGGUAUAGGGGCGAAAGACUAAUCGAACCAUCUAGUAGCUGGUUCCUGC